Molecule: ribosomal RNA, 401 nt
Filed under: uncultured bacterium
Lineage: Bacteria
Description: bacterial SSU rRNA
Rfam family: Bacterial small subunit ribosomal RNA
Source: RNAcentral
GAAUAUUGGACAAUGGGCGAAAGCCUGAUCCAGCCAUGCCGCGUGAGUGAUGAAGGCCCUAGGGUUGUAAAACUCUUUCGCCGAGGACGAUAAUGACGGUACUCGGAGAAGAAGCUCCGGCUAACUUCGUGCCAGCAGCCGCGGUAAUACGAAGGGGGCUAGCGUUGUUCGGAUUUACUGGGCGUAAAGCGCGUGUAGGCGGAUUUGUAAGUUGGGGGUGAAAUCCCGAGGCUCAACCUCGGAACUGCCUCCAAAACUACAAAGUCUGGAGCAAGAUAGAGGCAAGUGGAAUUGCGAGUGUAGAGGUGAAAUUCGUAGAUAUUCGCAGGAACACCAGUGGCGAAGGCGACUUGCUGGAUCUUUGCUGACGCUGAGACGCGAAAGCGUGGGGAGCAAACAGG